GUUUACAGCCAUGCUACCCUGAACAAGCCUGAUCCUGUCUGGUCUUGGAAGCUAAGCAGGGUCGGGCCUGGUUAGUAAUUGGAUGGGAGACCAGGUGCUGUAGGCA
RNAcentral lists this ribosomal RNA (106 nucleotides) under Pteropus alecto (black flying fox). The record is from RNAcentral. Lineage: Eukaryota; Metazoa; Chordata; Mammalia; Chiroptera; Pteropodidae.